RNAcentral lists this ribosomal RNA (482 nucleotides) under uncultured bacterium. Its description in RNAcentral is "bacterial SSU rRNA". It matches the Rfam family "Bacterial small subunit ribosomal RNA", at positions 30 to 507 of the family's 1533-position model. The record is from RNAcentral.
AUUGAACGCUGGCGGAAUGCUUUACACAUGCAAGUCGAACGGCAGCACGGGGCAACCUGGUGGCGAGUGGCGAACGGGUGAGUAAUACAUCGGAACGUGCCCAAUCGUGGGGGAUAACGUAGCGAAAGUUACGCUAAUACCGCAUACGAUCUACGGAUGAAAGCGGGGGAUCGCAAGACCUCGCGCGAGUGGAGCGGCCGAUGUCAGAUUAGCUAGUUGGUGGGGUAAAGGCCUACCAAGGCUACGAUCUGUAGCGGGUCUGAGAGGAUGAUCCGCCACACUGGAACUGAGACACGGUCCAGACUCCUACGGGAGGCAGCAGUGGGGAAUUUUGGACAAUGGGGGCAACCCUGAUCCAGCCAUGCCGCGUGAGUGAAGAAGGCCUUCGGGUUGUAAAGCUCUUUCGGCCGGGAAGAAAUCGCAUAGGCUAAUACCCUGUGUGGAUGACGGUACCGGAAUAAGAAGCACCGGCUAACUACGUG